AUGUCUUCAUGGUGCUUUCGGAGGGGCAGGGCCCCUGAGGAAAAGUGGUGGUUGGGGAGGAGGACGCCCUUGUCCUUGGUGUCCGGGCCGCCAUGGCUGACGCCGGAGCCGUUGGUUGGCCUUGAGGUCAUCCGUCGUUGGCGUCCUCGUCAUCCAUCCAACCACCAGGUCCUCGAUCCAUCUGCGGCCGCUGCACCUCCACAGUACGGCCGCCGCCUUUUUGUUUCCCUCUUGUGUUCAUCAUCUCAGAAUUUUGUUGGCACUGGAUCAUGCAGGGAGGAGAUUCCUGAGGCAUUUGAUUCUUGUGGGAUCCCAACACAUCUUGCAAGAUCAACAACAAGUGGCUGGGCCUCUACAUUAUUCAGAAAAGCUAUUUUUAUCUUUCAUUUAUUUGUCUAA
Molecule: ribosomal RNA, 399 nt
Filed under: Triticum aestivum (bread wheat)
Lineage: Eukaryota; Viridiplantae; Streptophyta; Magnoliopsida; Poales; Poaceae
Description: partial small subunit ribosomal RNA
Source: RNAcentral